CCUACGGGAGGCAGCAGUGGGGAAUAUUGCACAAUGGGGGAAACCCUGAUGCAGCAACGCCGCGUGAGUGAAGAAGUCAUUCGCGAUGUAAAGCUCUAUCAGCAGGGAAGAAAAUGACGGUACCUGAGUAAGAAGCCCCGGCUAACUACGUGCCAGCAGCCGCGGUAAUACGUAGGGGGCAAGCGUUAUCCGGAUUUACUGGGUGUAAAGGGCGUGCAGCCGGAGAGACAAGUCAGAUGUGAAAUCCACGGGCUCAACCCGUGAACUGCAUUUGAAACUGUUUCCCUUGAGUGUCGGAGAGGUAA
Molecule: ribosomal RNA, 305 nt
Filed under: uncultured bacterium
Lineage: Bacteria
Description: bacterial SSU rRNA
Rfam family: Bacterial small subunit ribosomal RNA
Source: RNAcentral